CUAACCUGCCCACUGAUUUAUUAAAGGGCCGCGGUAUAUUGACUGUGCAAAGGUAGCAUAAUCAUUUGUCUUUUAAUUGAAGGCUGGAAUGAAUGGUUGAAUGAAGUAUAAGCUGUCUCAUUUAAAAAAAUAUAAAAAUUUAGCUUUUAAGUUAAAAGGCUUAAAUAAAAUUAAAGGACGAGAAGACCCUAUAGAUCUUUAUAUUUAAAUUAAAUUAGUAAAUUUUAGAUUAAAAAAUUUUUAAUUAAUGAAAAUAUUUGGUUGGGGUGACUGGAAAAUUUAAUAAACUAUUUUUAUUUAAAUUCAUUAAUGUAUGAUUUAUUGAUCCAAUAAUAUUGAUUAAAAAAUUAAGUUACCUUAGGGAUAACAGCGUAAUUUUUUUAGAGAGUUCUUAUCGAUAAAAUAGAUUGCGACCUCGAUGUUGAAUUAAAGAU
RNAcentral lists this ribosomal RNA (434 nucleotides) under Thyridosmylus perspicillaris minor. RNAcentral's name for it is "partial large subunit ribosomal RNA". It matches the Rfam family "Bacterial large subunit ribosomal RNA", at positions 1854 to 2545 of the family's 2925-position model. The record is from RNAcentral. Lineage: Eukaryota; Metazoa; Arthropoda; Insecta; Neuroptera; Osmylidae.